CCUACGGGAGGCAGCAGUGGGGAAUAUUGGGCAAUGGGCGCAAGCCUGACCCAGCAACGCCGCGUGAAGGAAGAAGGCUUUCGGGUUGUAAACUUCGUUUAUGAGGGACGAAACAAAUGACGGUACCUCAUGAAUAAGCCACGGCUAACUACGUGCCAGCAGCCGCGGUAAUACGUAGGUGGCAAGCGUUAUCCGGAUUUACUGGGUGUAAAGGGCGUGUAGGCGGGACUGCAAGUCAGAUGUGAAAAUUAUGGGCUCAACCCAUAACCUGCAUUUGAAACUGUAGUUCUUGAGUGAUGGAGAGG
Molecule: ribosomal RNA, 305 nt
Filed under: uncultured bacterium
Lineage: Bacteria
Description: bacterial SSU rRNA
Rfam family: Bacterial small subunit ribosomal RNA
Source: RNAcentral